Dreissena polymorpha is the source of this 1182-nucleotide long non-coding RNA. RefSeq lists it as uncharacterized. The record is from RefSeq and is a predicted model, not a curated record. The transcript has 2 exons. NCBI's taxonomy places the organism in Eukaryota, Metazoa, Mollusca, Bivalvia, Myida, Dreissenidae.
GGUUUCUCUUAUAUGAUCAAUAAGAAUACUUGUAACAUAAUCAAUGACUUGGUGCAUAUUUGAGGAUGUUGAUUGCAAUCCACAGUCAAUAAAUUUGUUUGGUAGCAUGUUAUAUUUAAUACCUGACAUACAGUUGUCCAUUCUUAUAAAUGGUUAGUUUAUUCAUGUAAUCAGCAAGAAAAUUGACCUGAUCCAUUGUUGUAGUGCCGAAAAGUCCUUUUGAAAGUUUACUAUGAAAGGCAAAAGUGCACUUUUACUUCUAGAUAAGAUUAUGGUUGAUUAAAGAAUAAGACUCAAUACUCGAAAUUGUACACUUGUAUUUUGCUCCUGUUCAUUGUCUGAGGCUUUUUAUUCGAGUCAUCAUGUGAGAUAACAUGUGACACGAUUGAUUGUUCACUUAACAAGCUGGAAGUGCAGGCACAUCAAAUUAUUUUGUGUUCCCUUUAAUUAAAGCAUAUUGUCUAUUUAUUAAAAGGGUGUUAUUUUCAACUGCUAAUAUGUAAAGGUGAUUUUCCUGUAAAAGACUAUUUUUCGUCUUAACCAUUUGAAAAUUUAAGUGCGUUUGCCUUUGUUAUUUAGCCCUUUUACAUUUACAGUACAUAUGUUAAUACUCAUUCAAAAGACAGAGAAUUACAUGAUACUAUUCUUGUUCCAAACAUUUAAAAAUCAUUUUGUAGAACUAGAUUAUUAGUUAAUACUUCAUUAUACAAAGUUAUAUUAAGCUUUGAUGUUUAAAACCAUCAACUUCCAUGUUCUACAAGUUGUUAAUGCAUUGUGUUCAUUAAAUUCAUCUCAGCACUAAAUACUUGUUCAUUUUUAUGCCCCCCUUCGAAGAAGAGGGGGUAUAUUGCUUUACUCAUGUCGGUCGGUCUGUCGGUCUGUCGGUCUGUCGGUCCGUCCACCAGGUGGUUGUCAGACGAUAACUCAAGAACGCUUGGGCCUAGGAUCAUGAAACUUCAUAGGUACAUUGAUCAUGACUCGCAGAUGACCCCUAUUGAUUUUGAGGUCACUAGGUCAAAGGUCAAGGUCACGGUGACCCGAAAUAGUAAAAUGGUUUUCGGAUGAUAACUCAAGAACGCAUAUGCCUAGGAUCAUGAAACUUCACAGGUAGAUUGAUCAUGACUCGCAGAUGACCCCUAUUGAUUUUGAGGUCACAAGGUCAAAGGUCAAGGUCACGGUGAC